UACGUAGGGUGCGAGCGUUAAUCGGAAUUACUGGGCGUAAAGCGUGCGCAGGCGGUUUUGUAAGCCAGAUGUGAAAUCCCCGGGCUUAACCUGGGAAUGGCAUUUGGGACUGCAAGGCUUGAGUGCGGCAGAGGAGACUGGAAUUCCUGGUGUAGCGGUGGAAUGCGCAGAUAUCAGGAGGAACACCAAUAGCGAAGGCAGCUCGCUGGGACGUUACUGACACUGAGGCGCGAAAGCGUGGGGAGCGAACAGG
RNAcentral lists this ribosomal RNA (253 nucleotides) under uncultured bacterium. Its description in RNAcentral is "partial 16S ribosomal RNA". It matches the Rfam family "Bacterial small subunit ribosomal RNA", at positions 524 to 776 of the family's 1533-position model. The record is from RNAcentral.